UCCUGUAGUGGGGGAUAGCCCGGCGAAAGCCGGAUUAAUACCGCAUACGAUCUACGGAUGAAAGCGGGGGACCUUCGGGCCUCGCGCGAUAGGGUUGGCCGAUGGCUGAUUAGCUAGUUGGUGGGGUAAAGGCCUACCAAGGCGACGAUCAGUAGCUGGUCUGAGAGGACGACCAGCCACACUGGGACUGAGACACGGCCCAGACUCCUACGGGAGGCAGCAGUGGGGAAUUUUGGACAAUGGGCGAAAGCCUGAUCCAGCAAUGCCGCGUGUGUGAAGAAGGCCUUCGGGUUGUAAAGCACUUUUGUCCGGAAAGAAAUCCUUGACCCUAAUACGGUCGGGGGAUGACGGUACCGGAAGAAUAAGCACCGGCUAACUACGUGCCAGCAGCCGCGGUAAUACGUAGGGUGCGAGCGUUAAUCGGAAUUACUGGGCGUAAAGCGUGCGCAGGCGGUUUGCUAAGACCGAUGUGAAAUCCCCGGGCUCAACCUGGGAACUGCAUUGGUGACUGGCAGGCUAGAGUAUGGCAGAGGGGGGUAGAAUUCCACGUGUAGCAGUGAAAUGCGUAGAGAUGUGGAGGAAUCACUCGAUGGCGAAGGCAGCCCUCUGGACCAA
RNAcentral lists this ribosomal RNA (615 nucleotides) under Burkholderia arboris. RNAcentral's name for it is "bacterial SSU rRNA". It matches the Rfam family "Bacterial small subunit ribosomal RNA", at positions 129 to 737 of the family's 1533-position model. Lineage: Bacteria; Pseudomonadati; Pseudomonadota; Betaproteobacteria; Burkholderiales; Burkholderiaceae. The record is from RNAcentral.